CAGCGGAGGGAUCAUUACAAGAAGCCGAAAGGCUACUUCAAACCAUUGCGAACUCGUCCAAGUUGCUUCGGCGGCGCGGCUCCCCCUAACGGGGGCGCCGCAGCCCUGCCUCUCCGGAGGUUCGGGGCGCCCGCCGGAGGUACGAAACUCUGUAUUAUUGUGGCAUCUCUGAGUAAAAAGCAAAUAAGUUAAAACUUUCAACAACGGAUCUCUUGGUUCUGGCAUCGAUGAAGAACGCAGCGAAAUGCGAUAAGUAAUGUGAAUUGCAGAAUUCAGUGAAUCAUCGAAUCUUUGAACGCACAUUGCGCCCGGUAGUACUCUACCGGGCAUGCCUGUUCGAGCGUCAUUUCAACCCUCAAGCCCUGCUUGGUGUUGGGGCCCUACGGCUGCCGUAGGCCCUGAAAGGAAGUGGCGGGCUCGCUACAACUCCGAGCGUAGUAAUUCAUUAUCUCGCUAGGGAGGUUGCGGCGUGCUCCUGCCGUUAAAGACCCAUCUUUAACCAAGG
Molecule: ribosomal RNA, 505 nt
Filed under: Sordariomycetes sp.
Lineage: Eukaryota; Fungi; Ascomycota; Sordariomycetes
Description: eukaryotic LSU rRNA
Rfam family: 5.8S ribosomal RNA (bases 193-346)
Source: RNAcentral